This 207-nucleotide long non-coding RNA is filed under the name Brassica napus (rape). RNAcentral describes it as "long non-coding RNA (BNAP_LNC010637)". The record is from RNAcentral. Lineage: Eukaryota; Viridiplantae; Streptophyta; Magnoliopsida; Brassicales; Brassicaceae.
CAAAACCUCAUUUCUCAACUCUAAACCCUAAACCUUAAACUCUAAACCCUAAACCCUAAACUCUAAACCCUAAACCCUAAACCUUAAACUCUAAACCCUAAACCUUAAACUCUAAACCUUAAACCAUAAACCCUAAACCCUAAACCCUAAACCCUAAAUUCUAAACCCUAAACUCUAAACCCUAAACCCUAAAUCCUAAACCCCACC